AUUGAUUUUAUGCUUGCAUAAAUGAUUUUUGGAUUCGGAGCGAGUGGCGAACUGGUGAGUAACACGUGGGUAACCUGCCCCGAAGCGGGGGAUAACAUUUGGAAACAAGUGCUAAUACCGCAUAAUUAGUUGGAACCGCAUGGUUCCAACUUGAAAGAUGGCUCUGCUAUCACUUUGGGAUGGACCCGCGCCGUAUUAGUUAGUUGGUGAGAUAAAAGCCCACCAAGACGAUGAUACGUAGCCGACCUGAGAGGGUAAUCGGCCACAUUGGGACUGAGACACGGCCCAGACCCCUACGGGAGGCAGCAGUAGGGAAUCUUCCACAAUGGACGAAAGUCUGAUGGAGCAACGCCGCGUGAGCGAUGAAGGUUUUCGGAUCGUAAAACUCUGUUGUUAAAGAAGAACAAGUGUUAGAGUAACUGUUAACACUUUGACGGUAUUUAACCAGAAAGCCACGGCUAACUACGUGCCAGCAGCCGCGGUAAUACGUAGGUGGCAAGCGUUGUCCGGAUUUAUUGGGCGUAAAGCGAGCGCAGGCGGUUUUGUAAGUCUGCUGUGAAAGCCCUCAGCUCAACUGAGGAAGUGCAGUGGAAACUACAAAACUUGAGUACAGAAGAGGAAGGUGGAACUCCAUGUGUAGCGGUGAAAUGCGUAGAUAUAUGGAAGAACACCAGUGGCGAAGGCGGCUUUCUGGUCUGUUACUGACGCUGAGGCUCGAAAGCAUGGGUAGCGAACAGGAUUAGAUACCCUGGUAGUCCAUGCCGUAAACGAUGAAUACUAGGUGUUGGAGGGUUUCCGCCCUUCAGUGCCGCAGCUAACGCAUUAAGUAUUCCGCCUGGGGAGUACGACCGCAAGGUUGAAACUCAAAGGAAUUGACGGGGGCCCGCACAAGUGGUGGAGCAUGUGGUUUAAUUCGAUGCUACGCGAAGAACCUUACCAGCUCUUGACAUCUUCUGCCAACCCAAGAGAUUGGGCGUUCCCUUCGGGGACAGAAUGACAGGUGGUGCAUGGUUGUCGUCAGCUCGUGUCGUGAGAUGUUGGGUUAAGUCCCGCAACGAGCGCAACCCUUAUUAUUAGUUGCCAGCAUUUAGUUGGGCACUCUAGUGAGACUGCCGGUGAUAAA
RNAcentral lists this ribosomal RNA (1123 nucleotides) under uncultured bacterium. Its description in RNAcentral is "bacterial SSU rRNA". It matches the Rfam family "Bacterial small subunit ribosomal RNA", at positions 47 to 1162 of the family's 1533-position model. The record is from RNAcentral.